UUCGAAGCAAGCUGUAGUGAAUAUUUAACUCCAACUGGAGGAAGUCCAGUAGAGACUGUUGAUUCCGAUGAAAAGGCAACAUUGCCGAAGCAGCACGGUAUACUGACCGUGCCCGGCUGGGGCCGUUUCCGAAAGGAGCGGAACUGUCAUACUGCCCAAUCCAAAACAGUAUGUUGUGCUAUCUUGAUA
Molecule: non-coding RNA, 189 nt
Filed under: Paenibacillus sp.
Lineage: Bacteria; Bacillati; Bacillota; Bacilli; Caryophanales; Paenibacillaceae
Description: Lysine sequence
Rfam family: Lysine riboswitch aptamer
About the family: Riboswitches are metabolite binding domains within certain messenger RNAs that serve as precision sensors for their corresponding targets. Allosteric rearrangement of mRNA structure is mediated by ligand binding, and this results in modulation of gene expression. This family includes riboswitches that sense lysine in a number of genes involved in lysine metabolism, including lysC.
Source: RNAcentral